RNAcentral lists this ribosomal RNA (253 nucleotides) under uncultured bacterium. Its description in RNAcentral is "partial 16S ribosomal RNA". It matches the Rfam family "Bacterial small subunit ribosomal RNA", at positions 524 to 776 of the family's 1533-position model. The record is from RNAcentral.
UACGGGGGGGGCAAGCGUUGUUCGGAAUUACUGGGCGUAAAGAGCUCGUAGGCGGUUUGUCGCGUCUGCUGUGAAAACCCGAGGCUCAACCUCGGGCCUGCAGUGGGUACGGGCAGACUAGAGUGCGGUAGGGGAGAUUGGAAUUCCUGGUGUAGCGGUGGAAUGCGCAGAUAUCAGGAGGAACACCAAUGGCGAAGGCAGAUCUCUGGGCCGUAACUGACGCUGAGGAGCGAAAGCAUGGGGAGCGAACAGG